CUACGUGCCAGCAGCCGCGGUAAUACGGAGGGUGCGAGCGUUAAUCGGAAUUACUGGGCGUAAAGCGCACGCAGGCGGUUACUUAAGUGGGAUGUGAAAGCCCCGGGCUCAACCUGGGAACUGCAUUUCAUACUGGGUCGCUAGAGUACUUUAGGGAGAGGUAGAAUUCCACGUGUAGCGGUGAAAUGCGUAGAGAUGUGGAGGAAUACCGAUGGCGAAGGCAGCCCCUUGGGAAUGUACUGACGUUCAUGCUCGAAAGCGUGGGGAGCAAACAGGAUUAGAUACCCUGGUAGUCCACGCUGUAAACGAUGUCAAUUUGCUGUUGGGCAUUUAAGUUUGGCUAGCGUAGCUAACGCGUUAAAUCGACCGCCUGGGGAGUACGGUCGCAAGAUUAAAACUCAAAGGAAUUGACGGGGACCCGCACAAGCGGUGGAUGAUGUGGAUUAAUUCGAUGCAACGCGAAGAACCUUACCUGGUCUUGACAU
This 485-nucleotide ribosomal RNA is filed under the name uncultured bacterium. RNAcentral describes it as "bacterial SSU rRNA". It matches the Rfam family "Bacterial small subunit ribosomal RNA", at positions 501 to 987 of the family's 1533-position model. The record is from RNAcentral.